UGAGGAAUAUUGGACAAUGGGCGCAAGCCUGAUCCAGCCAUGCCGCGUGCAGGAUGACGGUCCUAUGGAUUGUAAACUGCUUUUAUACGGGAAGAAACCCUCUUUCGUGAAAGAGAUUGACGGUACCGUAAGAAUAAGGAUCGGCUAACUCCGUGCCAGCAGCCGCGGUAAUACGGAGGAUCCAAGCGUUAUCCGGAAUCAUUGGGUUUAAAGGGUCCGUAGGCGGCCUUAUAAGUCAGUGGUGAAAUCUCCCGGCUCAACCGGGAAAUUGCCAUUGAUACUGUAGGGCUUGAAUUAUUAGGAAGUAACUAGAAUAUGUAGUGUA
RNAcentral lists this ribosomal RNA (325 nucleotides) under uncultured Bacteroidota bacterium. Its description in RNAcentral is "bacterial SSU rRNA". It matches the Rfam family "Bacterial small subunit ribosomal RNA", at positions 355 to 677 of the family's 1533-position model. The record is from RNAcentral. Lineage: Bacteria; Pseudomonadati; Bacteroidota.